Molecule: ribosomal RNA, 452 nt
Filed under: uncultured bacterium
Lineage: Bacteria
Description: bacterial SSU rRNA
Rfam family: Bacterial small subunit ribosomal RNA
Source: RNAcentral
UACGGAAGGCAGCAGUGGGGAAUAUUGCACAAUGGGCGCAAGCCUGAUGCAGCCAUGCCGCGUGUAUGAAAAAGGCCUUCGGGUUGUAAAGUACUUUCAGUCGUGAGGAAGGUGUUAAGGUUAAUAACCUUAGCAAUUGACGUUAGCGACAGAAGAAGCACCGGCUAACUCCGUGCCAGCAGCCGCGGUAAUACGGAGGGUGCGAGCGUUAAUCGGAAUUACUGGGCGUAAAGGGCACGCAGGCGGUUAAUUAAGUUGGAUGUGAAAUCCCCGGGCUUAACCUGGGAAUGGCAUUCAAGACUGGUUAGCUAGAGUCUUGUAGAGGGGGUAGAAUUCCAUGUGUAGCGGUGAAAUGCGUAGAGAUGUGGAGGAAUACCGGUGGCGAAGGCGGCCCCUGGACAAAGACUGACGCUCAUGUGCGAAAGCGUGGGGAGCAAACAGGGAUUAGAUAC